RNAcentral lists this ribosomal RNA (497 nucleotides) under uncultured bacterium. RNAcentral describes it as "partial 16S ribosomal RNA". It matches the Rfam family "Bacterial small subunit ribosomal RNA", at positions 28 to 507 of the family's 1533-position model. The record is from RNAcentral.
GACGAACGCUGGCGGCGUGCCUAAUACAUGCAAGUCGAGCGAUGAAGAUUGGUGCUUGCACCAAUUUCAAGAGCAGCGAACGGGUGAGUAACGCGUGUGGAAUCUUCCUUUGAGCGGGGGACAACAUUUUGAAACGAAUGCUAAUACCGCAUAACAACUUUAAACAUAAGUUUUAAGUUUUAAAGAUGCCAUUUCAUCACUCAUAGAUUAUCCCGCGUUGUAUUAGCUAGUUGGUGAGGUAAAGGCUCACCAAGGCGAAGAUACAUAGUCGACCUGGGAGGGUGGUCGGCCACAAUGGGAAUGGGACAAGGCCCAAAAUCCUACGGGAGGCAGCAGUAGGGAAUCAUCGGAAAUGGACGGAAGUCUGACCGAACAACGCCGCGUGAGUGAAGAAGGUUUUCGGGUCGUAAAACUCUGUUGGUAGAGAAGAACGUUGGUGAGAGUGGAAAGCUCAUCAAGUGACGGUAACUACCCAGAAAGGGACGGCUAACUACGUG